RNAcentral lists this ribosomal RNA (484 nucleotides) under uncultured bacterium. Its description in RNAcentral is "partial 16S ribosomal RNA". It matches the Rfam family "Bacterial small subunit ribosomal RNA", at positions 30 to 507 of the family's 1533-position model. The record is from RNAcentral.
AUUGAACGCUGGCGGCAGGCCUAACACAUGCAAGUCGAGCGGAUGAAGGGAGCUUGCUCCUGGAUUCAGCGGCGGACGGGUGAGUAAUGCCUAGGAAUCUGCCUGGUAGUGGGGGAUAACGUCCGGAAACGGGCGCUAAUACCGCAUACGUCCUGAGGGAGAAAGUGGGGGAUCUUCGGACCUCACGCUAUUAGAUGAGCCUAGGUCGGAUUAGCUAGUUGGUGGGGUAAAGGCCUACCAAGGCGACGAUCCGUAACUGGUCUGAGAGGAUGAUCAGUCACACUGGAACUGAGACACGGUCCAGACUCCUACGGGAGGCAGCAGUAGGGAAUAUUGGACAAUGGGCGAAAGCCUGAUCCAGCCAUGCCGCGUGUGUGAAGAAGGUCUUCGGAUUGUAAAGCACUUUAAGUUGGGAGGAAGGGCAGUAAGUGAAUACCUUGCUGUUUUGACGUUACCAACAGAAUAAGCACCGGCUAACUUCGUG